UGGGGAAUAUUGGUCAAUGGGGGAAACCCUGAACCAGCGACGCCGCGUGAGGGAAGAAGGUUUUCGGAUUGUAAACCUCUGUCUUCGGGGACGAAUCAAUGACGGUACCCGAGGAGGAAGCCACGGCUAACUACGUGCCAGCAGCCGCGGUAAUACGUAGGUGGCAAGCGUUGUCCGGAAUUACUGGGUGUAAAGGGAGCGUAGGCGGGAAGAUAAGUUGCAUGUUAAACCGAUCGGCUCAACUGGUCGUCGCGUGCAAAACUGUCUUUCUUGAGUGGAGUAGAGGCAAGCGGAAUUCCUAGUGUAGCGGUGAAAUGCGUAGAUAUUAGGAGGAACACCAGUGGCGAAGGCGGCUUGCUGGGCUUUUACUGACGCUGAGGCUCGAAAGCAUGGGUAGCAAACA
Molecule: ribosomal RNA, 403 nt
Rfam family: Bacterial small subunit ribosomal RNA